RNAcentral lists this long non-coding RNA (429 nucleotides) under Dasypus novemcinctus (nine-banded armadillo). RNAcentral's name for it is "lncRNA (ENSDNOG00000052347.1)". The record is from RNAcentral. Lineage: Eukaryota; Metazoa; Chordata; Mammalia; Cingulata; Dasypodidae.
GCUUAAGAACAUGUUUUUCUGGGGAACAAAGAUCCAAGACACUACACAGCAAAAUGGAGACACUGUGAUCUUGACCAUAUACCCUGAAACUCCCUCAUAGAAGUAUCAUACAAUUUUGCUCAUUAAAUCCAACAGGCUGUUCUUCAUCAUCAAGAAAUGGAGACUCAGAAAGUUUGGAGCACUCCUUUGCUGAAGAUCUGUUAAAUUAUCUGAUUUAUUUUACUUUCCUCCAAAUGAUUAAGCCCCAGGCUAUGAAAUUUUGUCCUAUUGCCCACGUUGAACUAAAAUUCCUUCAGUUAUCUCUUUUGAGUCUGCAUAAAUUUUCCUUUGCCUGUAUGAAAGUCUGACUAUUGGUCAUUUCUUUGGAGAGGUUGGGAGGAGAAAGAAAGUGAAAAGGUCAAAUCAUUGCCAAUUUUAAAUCAAGCCCUG